RNAcentral lists this ribosomal RNA (495 nucleotides) under uncultured bacterium. RNAcentral's name for it is "partial 16S ribosomal RNA". It matches the Rfam family "Bacterial small subunit ribosomal RNA", at positions 28 to 507 of the family's 1533-position model. The record is from RNAcentral.
GACGAACGCUGGCGGCGUGCCUAAUACAUGCAAGUAGAACGCUGAAGGAGGAGCUUGCUUCUCUGGAUGAGUUGCGAACGGGUGAGUAACGCGUAGGUAACCUGCCUGGUAGCGGGGGAUAACUAUUGGAAACGAUAGCUAAUACCGCAUAAGAGUAGAUGUUGCAUGACAUUUGCUUAAAAGGUGCAAUUGCAUCACUACCAGAUGGGCCUGCGUUGUAUUAGCUAGUUGGUGGGGUAACGGCUUACCAAGGCGACGAUACAUAGCCGACCUGAGAGGGUGAUCGGCCACACUGGGACUGAGACACGGCCCAGACUCCUACGGGAGGCAGCAGUAGGGAAUCUUCGGCAAUGGACGGAAGUCUGACCGAGCAACGCCGCGUGAGUGAAGAAGGUUUUCGGAUCGUAAAGCUCUGUUGUAAGAGAAGAACGAGUGUGAGAGUGGAAAGUUCACACUGUGACGGUAUCUUACCAGAAAGGGACGGCUAACUACGUG